RNAcentral lists this ribosomal RNA (253 nucleotides) under uncultured bacterium. Its description in RNAcentral is "partial 16S ribosomal RNA". It matches the Rfam family "Bacterial small subunit ribosomal RNA", at positions 524 to 776 of the family's 1533-position model. The record is from RNAcentral.
GACAGAGGAUGCAAGCGUUAUCCGGAAUGAUUGGGCGUAAAGCGUCUGUAGGUGGCUUUUUAAGUCUGCCGUCAAAUCCCAGGGCUUAACCCUGGACAGGCGGUGGAAACUACCAAGCUGGAGUACGGUAGGGGCAGAUGGAAUUCCGGGUGUAGCGGUGGAAUGCGUAGAGAUCCGGAAGAACACCGGUGGCGAAGGCGGUCUGCUGGGCAGUUGCUGACACUGAGGCGCGACAGCGUGGGGAGCAAACAGG